This 460-nucleotide ribosomal RNA is filed under the name uncultured bacterium. RNAcentral describes it as "partial 16S ribosomal RNA". It matches the Rfam family "Bacterial small subunit ribosomal RNA", at positions 338 to 795 of the family's 1533-position model. The record is from RNAcentral.
CCUACGGGAGGCAGCAGUGAGGAAUAUUGGUCAAUGGGCGCGAGCCUGAACCAGCCAAGUAGCGUGAAGGAUGACUGCCCUACGGGUUGUAAACUUCUUUUGUAAAGGAAUAAAGUGAGGCACGUGUGCCUUUUUGCAUGUAAUUUAUGAAUAAGGAUCGGCUAACUCCGUGCCAGCAGCCGCGGUAAUCCGGAGGAUCCGAGCGUUAUCCGGAUUGAUGGGGUUUAAAGGGAGCGUAGAUGGGUUGUUAAGUCAGUUGUGAAAGUUUGCGGCUCAACCGUAAAAUUGCAAUUGAUACUGGCAGUCUUGAGUACAGUGGAGGUAGGCGGAAUUCGUGGUGUAGCGGUGAAAUGCUUAGAUAGCACGAAGAACUCCGAUUGCGAAGGCAGCUUACUAAACUGCCACUGACGUUGAUGCUCGAAAGUGUGGGUAUCAAACAGGAUUAGAUACCCCUGUAGUC